GUGCUCAGUUUCAGCAUCAUAUACACUAAAGUUGGAACAAUAUAGAGAUUAGCAUGAAGCCUCUGCAAAAAUGACAUGCAAAUUUGCUAAGCAUUCCAUAUUUUC
This is a small nuclear RNA of Macaca fascicularis (crab-eating macaque), 105 nucleotides long. Lineage: Eukaryota; Metazoa; Chordata; Mammalia; Primates; Cercopithecidae. The record is from Ensembl.